This 1991-nucleotide long non-coding RNA is filed under the name Homo sapiens (human). Its description in RNAcentral is "non-protein coding lnc-NAIP-6:2". The record is from RNAcentral. Lineage: Eukaryota; Metazoa; Chordata; Mammalia; Primates; Hominidae.
CAGAUUAUUGAAUAAUAAAAUACAGUUUUGAAAAAAAUGGAUGAAGAACCUGAAAGAACUAAGCGAUGGGAAGGAGGCUAUGAAAGAACAUGGGAGAUUCUUAAAGAAGAUGAAUCUGGAUCACUUAAAGCUACAAUAGAAGACAUUCUAUUCAAGGCAAAGAGAAAAAGAGUAUUUGAGCACCAUGGACAAGUUCGACUUGGAAUGAUGCGCCACCUUUAUGUGGUAGUAGAUGGAUCAAGAACAAUGGAAGACCAAGAUUUAAAGCCUAAUAGACUGACGUGUACUUUAAAGUUGUUGGAAUACUUUGUAGAGGAAUAUUUUGAUCAAAAUCCUAUUAGUCAGAUUGGAAUAAUUGUAACUAAGAGUAAAAGAGCUGAAAAAUUGACUGAACUUUCAGGAAACCCAAGAAAACAUAUAACGUCUUUGAAGAAAGCUGUGGAUAUGACCUGCCAUGGAGAGCCAUCUCUUUAUAAUUCCCUAAGCAUAGCUAUGCAGACUCUAAAACACAUGCCUGGACAUACAAGUCGAGAAGUACUAAUCAUCUUUAGCAGCCUUACAACUUGCGAUCCAUCUAAUAUUUAUGAUCUAAUCAAGACCCUAAAGGCAGCUAAAAUUAGAGUAUCUGUUAUUGGAUUGUCUGCAGAAGUUCGCGUUUGCACUGUACUUGCUCGUGAAACUGGUGGUAUAUAUAUAAUUUAUUUAAUAUUUGCUUAUAAUUACUGUGUAGGAAAUAAUUUAUUAAUUAAAUUAGGAUGUUUUAAUCUGUUCUGAGCUACUAAACUUAAAGUAGUCUAAAAUAUGGGCAGUCAUCUUAAAUAUAUCAUUGAUUCCAUAAGAAAUCAUCUCCAAAUGCAAAGAGUUUUCAGUACUUAUGUCAGUAUUUAGAGGAGGUAUUAUAACUCUUGGAAAGCUGGAAAUUUUACUGUAUGUAAUUCUUUAUAAAGAUUUUAUAACUUGUCUUUAAUUAAAUUGUAAUUACAGGCCAGGCAUGAUAGCUCAUGCCUGUAAUCUCAACAUUUUGGUAGGCCAAGGCAGGAGAAUCACUUGAGGCCAGAAGUUUGAGAUCAGUCUGGUUAACAUAGUGAGACCUGUCUCUAUUUAUAUGUUAAAAUAAUAAUAAUAGUAAUAAUAAUCAAUUGUAAUUAUAGUUAUUCCUAGAGAAGUUGAUUUAGAUAUAUUACUUAAAUAAGGUUUUAAAAGUGAUAAUUUAGCUAAAAUCAUUAUUUUAAAAAUGUACAUUUUCAGAUGAUACAACUUUUACAGAAUUACAUAGAACGUACAGUUCGUUAUGUCUAUGAAGGUGUUUUUUUUUCCCUUUUCAUCUUGUUAGGCACGUACCAUGUUAUUUUAGAUGAAAGCCAUUACAAAGAGUUGCUCACACAUCAUGUUAGUCCUCCUCCUGCUAGCUCAAGUUCUGAAUGCUCACUUAUUCGUAUGGGUAAGUGUUUUUAUGUUUUUAAAAAAUACAUAUCUAGGCUCUCCAUUUUCAUUUGCACAAGUUAUUUUAAUAUUUAAGAAUUUUUAAAGAAAAAAUAUGCUUGUUGAAGCAAUUUUGGAAAGUACAGAGAAGUGGAAAAAAAAAAUUAAAACUACCAGUAGUCCUGUCACCCAGAAAAUACUGUUGGCUUUCUUUAUUUUUAAGGCUAGAAAGGUAUAAACUGUGUUUAUAGAAAAAUACUUAUAUUAAGCCGGGCUCGGUGGCUCACGCCUGUAAUCCCAGCACUUUGGGAGGCCGAGGUGGGCGGAUCUUGAGGUCAGGAGAUCGAGACCAUCCUGGCUAACACGGUGAAACCCCAUCUCUACUAAAAAUACAAAAAAUUAGCCAGGCGUGGUGGCGGGCGCCUGUAAUCCCAGCUCCUCGGGAGGCUGAGGCAGGAGAAUGGCAUGAACCCGGGAGGCAGAGCUGGAAAUGAGCCGAGAUCACACCACUGCACUCUAGCCUGGGCGACAGAGCGAGACUCUGUCUCAAAAAAGAAAACAAAAGAAAA